UACGGAGGAUGCGAGCGUUAUCCGGAUUUAUUGGGUUUAAAGGGUGCGUAGGCGGUCCGUUAAGUCAGCGGUAAGAUUGCGGGGCUCAACCCCGUCGAGCCGUUGAAACUGGCAGACUUGAGUUGGCGAGAAGUACGCGGAAUGCGCGGUGUAGCGGUGAAAUGCAUAGAUAUCGCGCAGAACUCCGAUUGCGAAGGCAGCGUACCGGCGCCAGACUGACGCUGAGGCACGAAAGCGUGGGGAUCGAACAGG
This 252-nucleotide ribosomal RNA is filed under the name uncultured bacterium. RNAcentral's name for it is "partial 16S ribosomal RNA". It matches the Rfam family "Bacterial small subunit ribosomal RNA", at positions 524 to 776 of the family's 1533-position model. The record is from RNAcentral.